GAUGAACGCUGGCGGCGUGCCUAAUACAUGCAAGUCGAACGCAUAGCGAAAGGUGCUUGCCCCUUUCAAGUGAGUGGCGAACGGGUGAGUAACACGUGGACAACCUGCCUCAAGGCUGGGGAUAACAUUUGGAAACAGAUGCUAAUACCGAAUAAAACUUAGUGUCGCAUGACCCAAAGUUAAAAGGCGCUUCGGCGUCACCUAGAGAUGGAUCCGCGGUGCAUUAGUUAGUUGGUGGGGUAAAGGCCUACCAAGACAAUGAUGCAUAGCCGAGUUGAGAGACUGAUCGGCCACAUUGGGACUGAGACACGGCCCAAACUCCUACGGGAGGCUGCAGUAGGGAAUCUUCCACAAUGGGCGAAAGCCUGAUGGAGCAACGCCGCGUGUGUGAUGAAGGCUUUCGGGUCGUAAAGCACUGUUGUAUGGGAAGAACAGCUAGAAUAGGAAAUGAUUUUAGUUUGACGGUACCAUACCAGAAAGGGACGGCUAAAUACGUG
Molecule: ribosomal RNA, 497 nt
Filed under: uncultured bacterium
Lineage: Bacteria
Description: partial 16S ribosomal RNA
Rfam family: Bacterial small subunit ribosomal RNA
Source: RNAcentral